This 66-nucleotide transfer RNA is filed under the name Orthopygia glaucinalis. RNAcentral's name for it is "tRNA-Thr". It matches the Rfam family "tRNA". From Rfam's summary of the family: Transfer RNA (tRNA) molecules are approximately 80 nucleotides in length. Lineage: Eukaryota; Metazoa; Arthropoda; Insecta; Lepidoptera; Pyralidae. The record is from RNAcentral.
GUUUUUAUAGUUUAAAAAAAACAUUGGUCUUGUAAACCAAAAUUAAAAUUUUAUUCUUUAAAAACU